AGAGAAAGUAUUUGUGUUCGACAAGCUUCUUUCAGACACGAGGGAUGGAAAAGGAGGAAUUUGACAUCGAUUCAGUGCUCAGAUUUUGCAGGAUUAUUCAAAAUAGCCAGAAGCUGGAAGCAAACCAGGUGUCCAUCAACAGAUGAAGUGAC
Long non-coding RNA from Diceros bicornis minor, 152 nucleotides. RefSeq lists it as uncharacterized. The record is from RefSeq and is a predicted model, not a curated record. The transcript is spliced from 3 exons. Lineage: Eukaryota; Metazoa; Chordata; Mammalia; Perissodactyla; Rhinocerotidae.